Molecule: ribosomal RNA, 459 nt
Filed under: uncultured bacterium
Lineage: Bacteria
Description: partial 16S ribosomal RNA
Rfam family: Bacterial small subunit ribosomal RNA
Source: RNAcentral
CCUACGGGUGGCAGCAGUGAGGAAUAUUGGUCAAUGGUCGGGAGCCUGAACCAGCCAAGUCGCGUGCGGGAGGAAGGCACUGCGUAUCGUAAACCUCUUUUGCCCGGGGAUAACACCCUCGACGCGUGGCCGGCUGAGUGUACCGUACGAAUAAGGGUCGGCUAAUUCCGUGCCAGCAGCCGCGGUAAUACGGAGGACGCGAGCGUUAUCCGGAUUCAUUGGGCUUAAAGGGUGCGUAGGCGGGCUGUCAAGUCAGCGGUAAAAUCCCGCGGCUCAACCCCGCCCCGCCGUUGAAACUGGCCGUCUGGAGUUGACAAGAGGUAGGCGGAAUGCGCGGUGUAGCGGUGAAAUGCAUAGAUAUCACGCAGAACCCCGAUUGCGAAGGCAGCCUGCCGGGGUCCCACUGACGCUGAGGCACGAAGGCGUGGGUAUCGAACAGGAUUAGAUACCCCGGUAGUC